UUCUUAUGAAAAAUGUAGGGGUUUUGAGAGCCCAAAUUCCCAGAACCAUUGCUGAUGCUGUGAGCUGGCUGUGUCUGCAGGGAGUGCCAAGGCUUCCUGGGCCUGCUCCUCACGGAUAAGGGUAGUCUUUACCCCUCAUCAAGGAAACUUUGCAACAGACAGAACCCACUGUAAAAAAAAAAAAAAAAUACAACCAAUCAACA
Long non-coding RNA from Meriones unguiculatus (Mongolian gerbil), 203 nucleotides. RefSeq lists it as uncharacterized. The transcript has 2 exons. The record is from RefSeq and is a predicted model, not a curated record. Lineage: Eukaryota; Metazoa; Chordata; Mammalia; Rodentia; Muridae.